ACUCAAAUGAAUUGACGGGGGCCCGCACAAGCGGUGGAGCAUGUGGUUUAAUUCGACGCAACGCGCAGAACCUUACCCAGGCUAGAAAAGUAGAGAACCCUGUAGAAAUAUGGGGGUGCCCUUCGGGGAGCUCUAAUCCAGGUGCUGCAUGGCUGUCGUCAGCUCGUGUCGUGAGAUGUUGGGUUAAGUCCCGCAACGAGCGCAACCCUUGUCAUUAGUUGCUAACGGUUCGGCCGAGCACUCUAAUGAGACUGCCGGGGUUAACCCGGAGGAAGGUGGGGAUGACGUCAAGUCCUCAUGGCCCUUAUGUCUGGGGCUACACACGUGCUACAAUGGUCGGUACAAAGCGCAGCGAGCCCGCGAGGGGGAGCGAAUCGCAAAAAGCCGGCCUCAGUACGGAUUGCAGUCUGCAACUCGACUGCAUGAAGGCGGAAUCGCUAGUAAUCGUUGAUCAGCAGGCAACGGUGAAUACGUUCCCGGGCCUUGCACACACCGCCCGU
Molecule: ribosomal RNA, 500 nt
Filed under: uncultured bacterium
Lineage: Bacteria
Description: partial 16S ribosomal RNA
Rfam family: Bacterial small subunit ribosomal RNA
Source: RNAcentral